AGGGGGAGAGGGGGCUAGGAAUCUGCCUGGUAGUGGGGGAUAACGCUCGGAAACGGACGCUAAUACCGCAUACGUCCUACGGGAGAAAGCAGGGGACCUUCGGGCCUUGCGCUAUCAGAUGAGCCUAGGUCGGAUUAGCUAGUUGGUGAGGUAAUGGCUCACCAAGGCGACGAUCCGUAACUGGUCUGAGAGGAUGAUCAGUCACACUGGAACUGAGACACGGUCCAGACUCCUACGGGAGGCAGCAGUGGGGAAUAUUGGACAAUGGGCGAAAGCCUGAUCCAGCCAUGCCGCGUGUGUGAAGAAGGUCUUCGGAUUGUAAAGCACUUUAAGUUGGGAGGAAGGGCAUUAACCUAAUACGUUGGUGUCUUGACGUUACCGACAGAAUAAGCACCGGC
This 398-nucleotide ribosomal RNA is filed under the name uncultured bacterium. RNAcentral describes it as "bacterial SSU rRNA". It matches the Rfam family "Bacterial small subunit ribosomal RNA", at positions 100 to 497 of the family's 1533-position model. The record is from RNAcentral.